CAUAAGUAACGAUAAAGCGGGUGAAAAGCCCGCUCGCCGGAAGACCAAGGGUUCCUGUCCAACGUUAAUCGGGGCAGGGUGAGUCGACCCCUAAGGCGAGGCCGAAAGGCGUAGUCGAUGGGAAACAGGUUAAUAUUCCUGUACUUGGUGUUACUGCGAAGGGGGGACGGAGAAGGCUAUGUUGGCCGGGCGACGGUUGUCCCGGUUUAAGCGUGUAGGCUGGUUUUCCAGGCAAAUCCGGAAAACUAAGGCUGAGGCGUGAUGACGAGGCACUACGGUGCUGAAGCAACAAAUGCCCUGCUUCCAGGAAAAGCCUCUAAGCAUCAGGUAACAUCAAAUCGUACCCCAAACCGACACAGGUGGUCAGGUAGAGAAUACCAAGGCGCUUGAGAGAACUCGGGUGAAGGAACUAGGCAAAAUGGUGCCGUAACUUCGGGAGAAGGCACGCUGAUAUGUAGGUGAAGUCCCUCGCGGAUGGAGCUGAAAUCAGUCGAAGAUACCAGCUGGCUGCAACUGUUUAUUAAAAACACAGCACUGUGCAAACACGAAAGUGGACGUAUACGGUGUGACGCCUGCCCGGUGCCGGAAGGUUAAUUGAUGGGGUCAGCGCAAGCGAAGCUCUUGAUCGAAGCCCCGGUAAACGGCGGCCGUAACUAUAACGGUCCUAAGGUAGCGAAAUUCCUUGUCGGGUAAGUUCCGACCUGCACGAAUGGCGUAAUGAUGGCCAGGCUGUCUCCACCCGAGACUCAGUGAAAUUGAACUCGCUGUGAAGAUGCAGUGUACCCGCGGCAAGACGGAAAGACCCCGUGAACCUUUACUAUAGCUUGACACUGAACAUUGAGCCUUGAUGUGUAGGAUAGGUGGGAGGCUUUGAAGUGUGGACGCCAGUCUGCAUGGAGCCGACCUUGAAAUACCACCCUUUAAUGUUUGAUGUUCUAACGUUGACCCGUAAUCCGGGUUGCGGACAGUGUCUGGUGGGUAGUUUGACUGGGGCGGUCUCCUCCUAAAGAGUAACGGAGGAGCACGAAGGUUGGCUAAUCCUGGUCGGACAUCAGGAGGUUAGUGCAAUGGCAUAAGCCAGCUUGACUGCGAGCGUGACGGCGCGAGCAGGUGCGAAAGCAGGUCAUAGUGAUCCGGUGGUUCUGAAUGGAAGGGCCAUCGCUCAACGGAUAAAAGGUACUCCGGGGAUAACAGGCUGAUACCGCCCAAGAGUUCAUAUCGACGGCGGUGUUUGGCACCUCGAUGUCGGCUCAUCACAUCCUGGGGCUGAAGUAGGUCCCAAGGGUAUGGCUGUUCGCCAUUUAAAGUGGUACGCGAGCUGGGUUUAGAACGUCGUGAGACAGUUCGGUCCCUAUCUGCCGUGGGCGCUGGAGAACUGAGGGGGGCUGCUCCUAGUACGAGAGGACCGGAGUGGACGCAUCACUGGUGUUCGGGUUGUCAUGCCAAUGGCACUGCCCGGUAGCUAAAUGCGGAAGAGAUAAGUGCUGAAAGCAUCUAAGCACGAAACUUGCCCCGAGAUGAGUUCUCCCUGACUCCUUGAGAGUCCUGAAGGAACGUUGAAGACGACGACGUUGAUAGGCCGGGUGUGUAAGCGCAGCGAUGCGUUGAGCUAACCGGUACUAAUGAACCGUGAGGCUUAACCUU
Molecule: ribosomal RNA, 1644 nt
Filed under: Escherichia coli
Lineage: Bacteria; Pseudomonadati; Pseudomonadota; Gammaproteobacteria; Enterobacterales; Enterobacteriaceae
Description: partial 23S ribosomal RNA
Rfam family: Bacterial large subunit ribosomal RNA
Source: RNAcentral